RNAcentral lists this ribosomal RNA (987 nucleotides) under human gut metagenome. RNAcentral's name for it is "bacterial LSU rRNA". It matches the Rfam family "Bacterial large subunit ribosomal RNA", at positions 1942 to 2925 of the family's 2925-position model. The record is from RNAcentral.
AUAACGGUCCUAAGGUAGCGAAAUUCCUUGUCAGGUAAGUUCUGACCCGCACGAAAGGUGUAACGAUCUGGGCACUGUCUCAACAACCCGCCCGGCGAAAUUGUAGUACCGGUGAAGAUGCCGGUUACCCGCGACUAGACGGAAAGACCCCAUGGAGCUUUACUGUAGCCUAAUAUUGGAUUUCGGUAUUUCACGUACAGGAUAGGUGGGAGACUGGGAAGCACAGGCGUCAGCUUGUGUGGAGUCGACCUUGGGAUACCACUCUUGGAGUGCUGGAAUUCUAACCUGCGGCUUUGAAGCAAGUCGGGGGACAUUGUUAGGUGGGCAGUUUGACUGGGGCGGUCGCCUCCUAAAGAGUAACGGAGGCGCUCAAAGGUUCGCUCUGCAUGGAUGGAAACCAUGCGUCAGAGUGUAAACGCAAAAGCGAGCCUAACUGCGAGAAUGACGGUUCGAGCAGUAACGAAAGUUGGAGUUAGUGAUCCGGCGGUAUGUGAAUGGAAAUGCCGUCGCUCAACGGAUAAAAGCUACCCUGGGGAUAACAGGCUGAUCUCCCCCAAGAGUCCACAUCGACGGGGAGGUUUGGCACCUCGAUGUCGGCUCAUCGCAUCCUGGGGCUGAAGUAGGUCCCAAGGGUUGGGCUGUUCGCCCAUUAAAGCGGUACGCGAGCUGGGUUCAGAACGUCGUGAGACAGUUCGGUCCCUAUCUGUCGUGGGCGUAGGAUAUUUGCAAGGAGCUGUCCCUAGUACGAGAGGACCGGGAUGGACGCACCUCUGGUGCACCAGUUGUCACGCCAGUGGCACAGCUGGGCAGCUAUGUGCGGAACGGAUAAACGCUGAAGGCAUCUAAGCGUGAAGCCGCCCUUAAGAUAAGAUAUCCCUUCUGUUUACAGAGUAAGACCCCUUGAAGACUACAAGGUUGAUAGGCUCAAAGUGUAAGCACGGUGACGUGUUUAGCUAGCGAGUACUAAUCGGUCGAGGGCUUAACCUU